AGAGUUUGAUCAUGGCUCAGGAUGAACGCUGGCGGCGUGCCUAAUACAUGCAAGUCGAACGAGGAGCCAUCUUACUUGUAUUCGUACUCGUAAGGAGGAUUUUCUAGUGGCGAACGGGUGAGUAUCGCGUUGGUGACCUGCCCCAAAGAGAGGGAUAACAGUUUGAAAAGACUGCUAAUACCUCAUGUUGUCAUGGCUUUUAGAAAACCAUGUCCAAAGGAGUAAUCCGCUUUGGGAGGGGCCUGCGUCCCAUCAGCUAGUUGGUAAGGUAACGGCUUACCAAGGCGACGACGGGUAGGGGACCUGAGAGGGUGGCCCCCCACAAUGGAACUGAAACACGGUCCAUACACCUACGGGUGGCAGCAGUAGGGAAUAUUGCACAAUGGGCGAAAGCCUGAUGCAGCAACGCCGCGUGUGCGAUGAAGGCCUUCGGGUCGUAAAGCACUUUUCGAGAGGAUGAGAAAGGACAGUACUCUCGGAAUAAGUCUCGGCUAACUACGUGCCAACAGCCGCGGUAACACGUAGGAGGCAAGCGUUAUCCGGAUUUACUGGGCGUAAAGCGCGUGCAGGUG
This 572-nucleotide ribosomal RNA is filed under the name bacterium enrichment culture clone BIG B-Brut-24. RNAcentral describes it as "bacterial SSU rRNA". It matches the Rfam family "Bacterial small subunit ribosomal RNA", at positions 8 to 577 of the family's 1533-position model. The record is from RNAcentral.